CUUGGGUGUAAGCUAUUAGGUGGCACCAAGUGUUGAUGCCAUUCCUACAUGGUUUGGAUUUUCUAUAUGGCAUAAGGAAUUUAAAUUUGAUUCAAACAAAUUAAACCUAAUCUCCAAGUGUGACUUGGAGUUUAAGAGUUCUAAUUAGAUUACAACUAAGAAUUUUAAAUGCCCAUAAGGAGGGCUAUGGACAUGGGGCGGUAAUAAGAAGAAGAAGGCUGUAUAGGGGUGUGAAAAAGGAG
Molecule: long non-coding RNA, 242 nt
Filed under: Elaeis guineensis (African oil palm)
Lineage: Eukaryota; Viridiplantae; Streptophyta; Magnoliopsida; Arecales; Arecaceae
Description: long non-coding RNA (EGUI_LNC065589)
Source: RNAcentral